GACGAACGCUGGCGGCGUGCCUAAUACAUGCAAGUUGAGCGCUGAAGGUUGGUACUUGUACCAACUGGAUGAGCAGCGAACGGGUGAGUAACGCGUGGGGAAUCUGCCUUUGAGCGGGGGACAACAUUUGGAAACGAAUGCUAAUACCGCAUAAAAACUUUAAACACAAGUUUUAAGUUUGAAAGAUGCAAUUGCAUCACUCAAAGAUGAUCCCGCGUUGUAUUAGCUAGUUGGUGAGGUAAAGGCUCACCAAGGCGAUGAUACAUAGCCGACCUGAGAGGGUGAUCGGCCCACUUGGGACUGAGACACGGCCCCAACUCCUACGGGAGGCAGCAGUAGGGAAUCUUCGGCAAUGGACGAAAGUCUGACCGCGCAACGCCGCGGUAGUGAAGAAGGGUUUCGGAUCGUAAAACUCUGUUGGUAGAGAAGAACGUUGGUGAGAGUGGAAAGCUCAUCAAGUGACGGUAACUACACAGAAAGGGACGGCUAACUACGUG
Molecule: ribosomal RNA, 497 nt
Filed under: uncultured bacterium
Lineage: Bacteria
Description: partial 16S ribosomal RNA
Rfam family: Bacterial small subunit ribosomal RNA
Source: RNAcentral